AUUGUGUUGUAUAAUAAACCAUGUCUUAAAAAACAGCAUGUCUCUCAUCUAGUCUUUCUCCAUGUCUCUCUUCAUUCACAGUUGGAGAGAAAACAAGCUGAGCUCCUGAAGGAGAAAGAGGACAGAGAGAAAGAAGUGAAGGACCUGAAGAAUCAGCUGGAGUCAAAGCAAAAACAGAUUGAGACUCUUCAGGAAUCUGAGAAACAGCUGAAAGCUCAGAAUGAGGAGUCUCAGUUGAAAACAGAUCAAACUGCUUCAGUGCAGUCUUCCAGCUCUCCAAUAAGAGAUAAUUUGGGAAAUAAAACAAUAUACUUUGACAAGUGUACAUGAAAAUUAUAAAAUACUGUUAAACACAAAAAAA
Scomber japonicus (chub mackerel) is the source of this 361-nucleotide long non-coding RNA. RefSeq lists it as uncharacterized. NCBI's taxonomy places the organism in Eukaryota, Metazoa, Chordata, Actinopteri, Scombriformes, Scombridae. The transcript is spliced from 3 exons. The record is from RefSeq and is a predicted model, not a curated record.